GGCCGUCGUGUCGAGCCUGGUGAACGGGUCCACGUUCGUGCUACAGAAGAAGGGCAUCGUGCGUGCCAAGCGGCGAGGUACUUCCUAUUUAACAGACAUUGUGUGGUGGGCUGGCACAAUCGCAAGUAAGUAGCCUGUGUGGCGAAGUCUGGUCUUUUCCUUUCUUAGAAUCCAUCACUGGUCUGGGCAGGGCUGGAGCGGCUGGACUAGGGUGGCUCUGUUCUUUGGAAGAGGGUGUCGCGUGGCCUCUCCCCAGGCCCUAAGCGUGCCUUUCAGUUCAGAUGUCCCUGCCUCCCCAGGGCACUCUCCCUGCUCCCCUUCCUCCCAGGAUGAGAGUGCAGAAGGACAAGUUAGGAGCUGGUGGAGGCCCCUGCU
Molecule: small RNA, 375 nt
Filed under: Pan troglodytes (chimpanzee)
Lineage: Eukaryota; Metazoa; Chordata; Mammalia; Primates; Hominidae
Description: retained intron
Source: RNAcentral